GACGAACGCUGGCGGCGUGCUUAACACAUGCAAGUCGAACGGAAAGGCCCUGCUUUUGUGGGGUGCUCGAGUGGCGAACGGGUGAGUAACACGUGAGUAACCUGCCCUUGACUUUGGGAUAACUUCAGGAAACUGGGGCUAAUACCGGAUAGGAGCUCCUGCUGCAUGGUGGGGGUUGGAAAGUUUCGGCGGUUGGGGAUGGACUCGCGGCUUAUCAGCUUGUUGGUGGGGUAGUGGCUUACCAAGGCUUUGACGGGUAGCCGGCCUGAGAGGGUGACCGGCCACAUUGGGACUGAGAGACGGCCCAGACUCCUACGGGAGGCAGCAGUGGGGAAUAUUGCACAAUGGGCGGAAGCCUGAUGCAGAAACGCCGCGUGCGGGAUGACGGCCUUCGGGUUGUAAACCGCUUUAGCCUGUGACGAAGCGUGAGUGACGGUAAUGGGUAAAGAAGCACCGGCUAACUACGUG
Molecule: ribosomal RNA, 468 nt
Filed under: uncultured bacterium
Lineage: Bacteria
Description: partial 16S ribosomal RNA
Rfam family: Bacterial small subunit ribosomal RNA
Source: RNAcentral